UGGGGAAUAUUGCACAAUGGGCGAAAGCCUGAUGCAGCGACGCCGCGUGAGGGAUGACGGCCUUCGGGUUGUAAACCUCGUUCAGUAGGGACGAAGCGCAAGUGACGGUACCUGCAGAAGAAGCACCGGCUAACUACGUGCCAGCAGCCGCGGUAAUACGUAGGGUGCGAGCGUUGUCCGGAAUUACUGGGCGUAAAGAGCUCGUAGGCGGUUUGUCACGUCGUCUGUGAAAUCCUAGGGCUUAACCCUGGACGUGCAGGCGAUACGGGCUGACUUGAGUACUACAGGGGAGACUGGAAUUUCUGGUGUAGCGGUGGAAUGCACAGAUAUCAGGAAGAACACCGAUGGCGAAGGCAGGUCUCUGGGUAGUAACUGACGCUGAGGAGCGAAAGCAUGGGUAGCGAACAGG
This 409-nucleotide ribosomal RNA is filed under the name bacterium. RNAcentral's name for it is "partial 16S ribosomal RNA". It matches the Rfam family "Bacterial small subunit ribosomal RNA", at positions 355 to 776 of the family's 1533-position model. The record is from RNAcentral.